UGAAUUCCCCUCCAUUUCAGCCAGACUCCCAAGAACACACCCUCAGACACAAUCACAGGCCACCUACCCACACCUGUGAGAUGUGCUACUCAAACACUGUUGCAUCUGCGACUGUGGUUCAAAGCAGCCAGCCCUAGCCUUGCAGAGCAACUAGAAGCAAACAUCCAAGCCACCUUUAGGACAACCUGACUCUGUGUUAUAUUCUUACUGACUCUUCUCUGAUUGAGGGUUGCUGUGUGUUUCCCAGCCUGCAGGACCAGAAUCCAGAAAUAUUAUCUCCUGACGUUUCACCCACAUCUACGGCAGGCAUCUUCAGAGGUUGUGAGCAAUUUUCUUCAGGUUUUUUUUUCUACAAAGAAAAUGGGAGAAGGGCAAUAUGUGGUGACAAAUCUCAACUGUGUGAUGGCAAAACAAUGGAGGAUUCCUGAGUAAAAUGGAUGGAUUGAAAAGUAUGUGACAAAGCUUUUAUCCUGUUAUUGCAGACACUCGAGGAUUUAAUUUUUAUAUUUAGAGGAACCUCAGACAACCCUUCUGUUGCUAAAAGGAAAGAAAAGAUAUUACAAUGGCAACAAAAGAAAUGGGCGCUGUGUUUCUUCUUGCACAUAAAGCUUUCCUUUUAUUUCUUUUGGACAAACCUAAAAAUAAUUUUGGCAGAAGCAUUGUUGCCAUAUUGCUUUGACAGUCAAGUAUCCAGAAAGGGACUUAAGGCUGUCUAGCUGGAGGCAAUGUCCAAUAAACCCUAAUCUUUAUGUCUCUUUGUUUUUUCUAAAGGACAGCAUGAAUGAAUAUCUA
This is a long non-coding RNA of Anolis carolinensis (green anole), 792 nucleotides long. RefSeq lists it as uncharacterized. The transcript is spliced from 3 exons. NCBI's taxonomy places the organism in Eukaryota, Metazoa, Chordata, Lepidosauria, Squamata, Anolidae. The record is from RefSeq and is a predicted model, not a curated record.